UACGUAGGGGGCAAGCGUUGUCCGGAAUCAUUGGGCGUAAAGCGUGCGCAGGCGGUUCGUUAAGUCAGAUGUGAAAGCCCCGGGCUCAACCUGGGAACUGCAUUUGAAACUGGCGGGCUUGAGUGUGGCAGAGGGGGGUGGAAUUCCGCGUGUAGCAGUGAAAUGCGUAGAGAUGCGGAGGAACACCGAUGGCGAAGGCAGCCCCCUGGGCCAACACUGACGCUCAGGCACGAAAGCGUGGGGAGCAAACAGG
This 253-nucleotide ribosomal RNA is filed under the name uncultured bacterium. Its description in RNAcentral is "partial 16S ribosomal RNA". It matches the Rfam family "Bacterial small subunit ribosomal RNA", at positions 524 to 776 of the family's 1533-position model. The record is from RNAcentral.